Molecule: ribosomal RNA, 497 nt
Filed under: uncultured bacterium
Lineage: Bacteria
Description: partial 16S ribosomal RNA
Rfam family: Bacterial small subunit ribosomal RNA
Source: RNAcentral
GAUGAACGCUGGCGGCGUGCCUAAUACAUGCAAGUCGAGCGAACGGACGAGAAGCUUGCUUCUCUGAUGUUAGCGGCGGACGGGUGAGUAACACGUGGAUAACCUACCUAUAAGACUGGGAUAACUUCGGGAAACCGUAGCUAAUACCGGAUAAUAUUUUGAACCGCAUGGUUCAAAAGUGAAAGACGGUCUUGCUGUCACUUAUAGAUGGAUCCGCGCUGCAUUAGCUAGUUGGUAAGGUAACGGCUUACCAAGGCAACGAUGCAUAGCCGACCUGAGAGGGGGAUAGGCCACACUGGAACUGAGCCACGGACAAGACUCCUAAGGGAGGCAGCAGUAGGGAAUCUUACGCAAUGGGCGAAAGCCUGACGGAGCAACGCCGCGUGAGUGAUGAAGGUCUUCGGAUCGUAAAACUCUGUUAUUAGGGAAGAACAUAUGUGUAAGUAACUGUGCACAUCUUGACGGUACCUAAUCAGAAAGCCACGGCUAACUACGUG